This 28-nucleotide non-coding RNA is filed under the name Rattus norvegicus (Norway rat). The record is from RNAcentral. Lineage: Eukaryota; Metazoa; Chordata; Mammalia; Rodentia; Muridae.
UGAUCCAUGCACAGAGUCUAGGUAAUCU